RNAcentral lists this ribosomal RNA (433 nucleotides) under uncultured bacterium. RNAcentral describes it as "partial 16S ribosomal RNA". It matches the Rfam family "Bacterial small subunit ribosomal RNA", at positions 29 to 507 of the family's 1533-position model. The record is from RNAcentral.
AACGAACGCUGGCGGCAUGCCUAACACAUGCAAGUCGAACGAGACCUUCGGGUCUAGUGGCGCACGGGUGCGUAACGCGUGGGAACCUGCCCUUAGGUUCGGAAUAACUCCCCGAAAGGGGUGCUAAUACCGGAUAAUGUCUUCGGACCAAAGAUUUAUCGCCUUUGGAUGGGCCCGCGUUGGAUUAGCUAGUUGGUAGGGUAAAAGCCUACCAAGGCGACGAUCCAUAGCUGGUCUGAGAGGAUGAUCAGCCACACUGGGACUGAGACACGGCCCAGACUCCUAGGGGAGGAAGCAGGGGGGAAUAUGGGACAAUGGGCGAAAGCCUGAUCGAGCAAGGCCGGGUGAGGGAUGAAGGCCUUAGGGUGGUAAACCGUUUUUACCCGGGAUGAAAAUGACGGUACCGGAAGAAUAAGCCCCGGCUAACUCCGUG